GCGUGCAGGAUGAAGGCCUUCGGGUUGUAAACUGCUUUUGUACGGAACGAAACGCGCUGGGUUAAUACCUCGGCGUAAUGACGGUACCGUAAGAAUAAGCACCGGCUAACUACGUGCCAGCAGCCGCGGUAAUACGUAGGGUGCAAGCGUUAAUCGGAAUUACUGGGCGUAAAGCGUGCGCAGGCGGUUUUGUAAGACAGGUGUGAAAUCCCCGGGCUUAACCUGGGAACUGCAUUUGUGACUGCAAGGCUAGAGUACGGCAGAGGGGGAUGGAAUUCCGCGUGUAGCAGUGAAAUGCGU
This 300-nucleotide ribosomal RNA is filed under the name uncultured bacterium. Its description in RNAcentral is "bacterial SSU rRNA". It matches the Rfam family "Bacterial small subunit ribosomal RNA", at positions 399 to 691 of the family's 1533-position model. The record is from RNAcentral.